Molecule: long non-coding RNA, 770 nt
Organism: Acanthopagrus latus (yellowfin seabream)
Lineage: Eukaryota; Metazoa; Chordata; Actinopteri; Spariformes; Sparidae
Exons: 7
Source: RefSeq, a predicted model, not a curated record
GAAGGACAGGUGAGGGCAUUAGUGCCUCUUUGUUUGAGGUCUGGUUGUGUGGCAGGAUUGCUGUGUCCAUGCAGUUGUGGUGUGACAUUCCUGAGUGAUCCAGAUUGAGCAUGCUCUGUAGCCCUGUGCUGAAGAGGCAGUGGGACGACCUGCAGGGAGUAGUUGUGGGAUAUGCACCUCUCCUUGCAUGCAGUGCGCAUUUUGUGAAUGGACAGCCUACUCCCGAGUAUCCCAACCCUGUACUUGCUGUACAAGUGCCAGGAGCAGCUCGGAGGCUGUCAAAAGCCACCCAAAAAAAUAGUAUACAGAUGCAGAUUUAGUGUGCAGGACGCCUCUGGCUCCACCUCCAGCACUGAUGAUGCAGAAGAGACUCAACAGUGUAUUGUUGACAGUGAGAGUCCUGCGCAAUCCCCACUUCCUGGAUGCCAGCUAGAAAGGGAAUAUAAGGAGGAGCAGAGCACUGAAAAGGAGAAGAAAUUAAAGGAUCCAUGUCCGACAAGGGGAUAGUCAGACGGUGUGGUAUCAUCCUGCUACUAGAGCAAAUUAUAGACAGUGGCUAUUUGCAAAGAGGGGAUGGCAUAAUGGCUGAUAAGGGCUUUUUGAUCGAGGAAGAGAUGUGAGCAGUCGGACUGCCGUUAAACCAGCCACCAUUUUCAAGAUCUAAGAGGUAAAUGCCAGCUGGAGAUGUGCUGGUGACAAAGCGCAUUGCAAAGCACAGGGUGCAAGUGGAGAGGGCCAUUGCUAAAAUAAAGACAUUACUACCGCUUUAA